CCUAAGGUAGCGAAAUUCCUUGUCGGGUAAGUUCCGACCUGCACGAAUGGCGUAAUGAUGGCCAGGCUGUCUCCACCCGAGACUCAGUGAAAUUGAACUCGCUGUGAAGAUGCAGUGUACCCGCGGCAAGACGGAAAGACCCCGUGAACCUUUACUAUAGCUUGACACUGAACAUUGAGCCUUGAUGUGUAGGAUAGGUGGGAGGCUUUGAAGUGUGGACGCCAGUCUGCAUGGAGCCGACCUUGAAAUACCACCCUUUAAUGUUUGAUGUUCUAACGUUGGCCCGUAAUCCGGGUUGCGGACAGUGUCUGGUGGGUAGUUUGACUGGGGCGGUCUCCUCCUAAAGAGUAACGGAGGAGCACGAAGGUUGGCUAAUCCUGGUCGGACAUCAGGAGGUUAGUGCAAUGGCAUAAGCCAGCUUGACUGCGAGCGUGACGGCGCGAGCAGGUGCGAAAGCAGGUCAUAGUGAUCCGGUGGUUCUGAAUGGAAGGGCCAUCGCUCAACGGAUAAAAGGUACUCCGGGGAUAACAGGCUGAUACCGCCCAAGAGUUCAUAUCGACGGCGGUGUUUGGCACCUCGAUGUCGGCUCAUCACAUCCUGGGGCUGAAGUAGGUCCCAAGGGUAUGGCUGUUCGCCAUUUAAAGUGGUACGCGAGCUGGGUUUAGAACGUCGUGAGACAGUUCGGUCCCUAUCUGCCGUGGGCGCUGGAGAACUGAGGGGGGCUGCUCCUAGUACGAGAGGACCGGAGUGGACGCAUCACUGGUGUUCGGGUUGUCAUGCCAAUGGCACUGCCCGGUAGCUAAAUGCGGAAGAGAUAAGUGCUGAAAGCAUCUAAGCACGAAACUUGCCCCGAGAUGAGUUCUCCCUGACUCCUUGAGAGUCCUGAAGGAACGUUGAAGACGACGACGUUGAUAGGCCGGGUGUGUAAGCGCAGCGAUGCGUUGAGCUAAGCGGUACUAAUGAACCGUGAGGCUUAACCUU
RNAcentral lists this ribosomal RNA (981 nucleotides) under human gut metagenome. Its description in RNAcentral is "bacterial LSU rRNA". It matches the Rfam family "Bacterial large subunit ribosomal RNA", at positions 1950 to 2925 of the family's 2925-position model. The record is from RNAcentral.